GAGAACUGGGAUGGGGGGAGGAGGAGAGCUGGGGUGGGGGGAGGAGGAGGGGACCUCGGGGCUGCGAGCGAGGGGGCCGGGCCCUGUGGCACUGCCGGCGCCCCCGCCCUCAGGCUGGGCCGGGGCUGGCGGACCGGCGGGCGUCGCUUCAGCUCCCCGCGGCGGCGGGACCGGCGGGCUCGGGCGGGCGCGGCUGAGGGGAGGGGACUGCGGGGGGAGGGUUAACAGUGCCCACGGCCGUCUUAAACCUCAGCCCGCCCCGGAGGAGGGGGAACCCGGCGAGAGGCUUAGUGCGUGCGAAGCGCGACAUGGCGGCGAGGCCGACGAGCCCGACGAGCCCGGGGGGACCCGCGUGUACGGCGAAGGGGGCGGGGCUAGAGCGGCCUUGACAACCAUUAGAUCGCCGCGGGCCGGGCGGCUCGGAGACUACAUUUCCCAGAGGGCACCGCGUGCCGCGGGACGGAAGGGGAAGCGCCCCGGGCUCAGUGCGCAGGCGCAAGAGCUUCCCCUGGUUAUAUAAGAGAGGUCUGGAGGGCUCUUCGUCCUUUUGCGUUUUCGGCGCUCUUCUUCUCUUCUGUACCUGGUUAGUGCUUCGUCCGGUGCUGUGCGGGCCCGGGAAUCCGGGUUUGCUGUUGUGAGUGGUCAGUUCGAUCAGAGGGUACAGAAUGGAUCUCCGAAGAGGGGGUCGCUGCUGGGCCUCCAGGAGAACCCCCUGUAGACUUGUCCAGCCUUCCGUCUCCUGAUCUCUGGCAGUUGCUGUGGGCAGAAAGCGGACUUCGAGUGGACCAGGAAUGAGAUGUUGGAAUCAGGUCACUUAUCUUGGUUUUACCUGCUAACUUCCUGCAGGAUGGGAGCCCUGUGAGCCACAGGGCAGUAAAUAGAUGCAGCCUGAUGUGCUUGGUUCAGUCUGUCCUGCAACAGAUUUUGCCUGCCUCAGUCCUCUUGUGGCACAAUUGCCAGGGAAGAUGGAGCUUAGGGUCCCAAAUAGGACUUGCAGCUCCAGCCUGUGUCAGCAGGGGGCCCUGGGGGCACACAUUUCUCCAACUGGUGGGAGCAUAGCCUCCACCCUUGGGCUGGGAAGGGAGGAGAUGGCUUGGUGGCGGCGUAGCAGGUGGGUGAGCUUUUCAGCACUUCUGGGGUGACUGCAGCAGCAAAGCCUGAGAAAGGGUAAGUUCCCCAGGCCCGAAAUGUGUGCUUCCACUAGACCCAUGCAACAAACCAACCAGAAACAAAUUUGCCCAUGAUCCCUUCAAUCUAACACGUUAGUGAUUGGAUUUUCACUUUCCCACAUUCCCUUAUGUCCCCAUGUUAUCAUAGUAGGGUGCCUACUACCACUAUGGUUGGAACUUCCCAUUUUUAAAGGAAGCCAGAAAUCCUUAAACUGUUAGCAACAGAUUCCAAUUUUAUAAACUGAAGACUUAGAAAAUGCACACGUGUGGGCUUCAGAUAGCCUGGAGGCUGCCAGUUUGAGACCUCUACAAUUUUUUUUUUUUUUUUUGUCAGAGAGAGAGACAGAGCACAAGCAUGGGGAGAGGCAGGCUCCCCCCACCGAGCAGGGAGCCCAACGCGGGACUUGAUCCCAGGACCCCGGGAUCAGGACCUAAGCCAAAGGCAGACGCUUAGCCGACUGAGCCACCCAGGCGUCCCAAGACCCCUGCAAUUUGAGCUGUAUCUUUUUUAGCACCUGUCUUACCAUUCCUGAGCCAAAUAAAACACAUGAUAUCCAGUUCUAUGUGAAUCUCAGAUAAAUCACAAAUAAUUUUUUAGCAUAAGUACAUCCCUUGCAAUAUUCAGGACACAGUUAAAAUUAUUUGUUGUUUAUCUGAAAUUCACAUUUAACUGGGUGUUGUGUAUUUCUGUUUGCUAAAUCUGGAAACCUCAUUCCUGGGAGCAUCUGGCUUCAGACAAUGUCAUCUGCUCUUCAAGAGGAAGCCUUGAUGGACUUUGGGUCUCUUGUGUUGUGGCAGAGUGGAAUGGCUGGAGUUGCUCUGUCAAGCCCUGCCAGAUCUCCUAUCGCAUCCGCCUGAGGCAUGUCCUGCAGGAGCCAAGGAACAGGGGUGCUCCCUCCCCCCGCUGGAAGAGCGGGCUGGCUGUGUGGGUUACCGCGGCCACCAGAGAGUGGAGUGCCAACAGUCUUUAACCCCUGCUCUGAUAACCACAGGCAGCUACGGGAAGGAGCGGAAAAAGCGAGGUGUCCCCAAGGAGCAGGAGACAGUAGGGAGCUGGACACAACCGUGACCAGAACAAACAGGAGUUCCUGUCCUUCUGGGGCUGGCAUGAGACUGGGACCCAGACAGAGAAAUAAACCACACAGCCUUUUGGACGGGACGCUUAGACGGGGCCUGACGCAUGGAAGUCCUCAUGAUGUUAAAGAGUUGAGCCGAGUCUCUUGUCGUGUGUGACCUGUUGGUGAAGAGUGGGCUGCCAAAAGGUUCCUAUUCUCCGGCAGAAAUUGUACCAAGCUGGGCCUACAGAAGGCUAGGUACCCAGUAGGUGCUCCGUAAGUGCUCACAGGUGCUUGGAGUGGCGUCUCCCUGUGUGGCUGCAGGUACUGGGGCCCGUUCCACAGAGCUGGCGGCACAUGAGGGCGCCCCACGCCCAGUGGACGAGGUAUCCGACCCAGGGCCACACGGUUUGUGUGAAGUGUGAGUGGCCUGCCCCGGACCCCAGGAACCAGCGCUGCUGUGGGGCUGGAGGGUGGAGAAAAAGCUAGUGCUGCCCCUCCAGGUCCCCGAUUCAGCCUCUCCCGCAGAUCUUCACAUCCCCAUCUCCCUUGUGCCCUCCAGAAAAUAAUACAAACUCCACCAAGCUCGUUUUCUCCAUACCUUUUUAUUGAACUGUGCAUACUUCAUUAAAGGACCAUUUGCUUAGAAAUUCUUGAACGUUUGGACAUAUUUUACAAGACAGGACAGCAGCUGGAGGUCACAAUUUCAUCUCAUCACAUGCAUAAAAAGACAGGAAGGACUAGAGACAUCAACUGACCAGAGAUGAACAGGACCCACAAAUGCGACCCCGAGAAAAGAAAAAUAGACUACUCUGAGAUAUGUGGAUAUCCUACGAUGUAGCCCUGCAUCGGAUACUUCUAGAGCCAGAAAUGUGGCAACAGAAAAUGCAGAGAUAGCAUCAGCUCUAAAAAUAUCUGAAUCGGAAAUCACAACUAUUUACUUUUAUCAAAAAGCAUUUGUUUUCCCUGAAUUUUCACGUUUGUGCUGACGGCCGACGGAAAUGGUGAUAAACACAAGGAAGAGACACGUGCGCUGACAUGGCCCAGGGACGACUGUCCGGUGGCCGCUCCUCAGGAGGCCCCCAGCCCGCACCGUGUGCCCCGAAAAGGGCUCGGGCCUGCUGCUGCCUCCUCUCUCUGGCAUGCCGCCAGCACAGGACGACCGCACACCUUCCCGGGCCCUUUGCCGUUGCUGCCAGGGUGCUCUGAAGAUACCUCGGAGUGCCAGGAUACUUCGGCAUUGUCUUGUUGGGCAACAUGGCAAAGAACAGGACUGCACCUUCUUGGAGGGAUCCACAGUCCUCGGAGACGCUGAGAAGCGGUAUGAACCAGGUAUGGGCUCAGCAGAGAAGAGGUGCUUGUAAGGGCGGUGGAAUGACUCCGUGUCAUCAUACCUGUGACAGGUGGUUCAACCCCAUGCCACUGUUCGGAGGGCAGGCGGAACGGCUCCGUGAUAUUUGUGAACUGACGCAUGGAUUCAUGCCAUUAUACCAACAGGCAGACCAGUAACACCUUGUAUGAAGGACAGGCGAACCACGCCGUGUUGGUUCCAUCAGGAAGACGGAUGCCUGUCACUGGAUUGUGGGUUGGCAGACCUACACUACUGGACGUGGGGCAUCACCCAUCAGUGUCGUAUUAAGAGAACGACAUCGGUCCAUUGUACUAAAGACAGGCGGAUCAACGACAUGUCAUCUUUACUGACAGAUGGGCCAACAGCAUGGCAUCAUGCUAACCAGUGGCUCAACCCAAUGUUUCUGAACCGAGGAACGGCCAACAACUCCAUCCUGUUGGACCCAACUCAUGCAGGCCAACGCCAGGUUGUCAAACUAGAACAGGAAGACCAACACCAAGAAAUACACCAGAACCGUUCACAAUGCACACAAAUACUUAUUGCUUUUGUCUGUACUGGCUGCAUUGAUGGCUGCAGGAAGGAGAGCUGAGUUUUGGUACAGACAGUGACACUGAAAACACACCAACAGCUGGUUGACAAGAAAGAGAACAGAGUAAACGCCCAAUGCCCACCGUCUACUGUAUUCUUCUGAGAUGUGCAUGCUUCUGGUACACGUGACUCUGUGAGAGGCCCCGCUCAAGAGCUCAAGUACCCUUCCUUGCAAGGGACCUAAUGGGAAGCGUCAGAGGGGCAGGGAAGGAGCCCACAGACCUUGACAUGGCAGACAGCAAUACCAGCACAAUAUCCCCCACCGUGGCCGGACACAGGCACGGACCAACAACCCAACUAUAGUCCCGAAAAGUGGCCCACGGGAAAUAGUGCUUGUUUUAAAGUGCAAGAUGUUGACACUGUCCCUGGUAGAACCUAUUUUUGAAAAACAUAAAGUGCUUUUUAUUUUAACUUUUUUUUUAAAACUUGAAUACCACAGGAAACAAAAAAGAAUUUCUAUUAUAGUAGAUGCUUUCCCUGCUGCAGCAGGAAGUAUUCAAAAGUCUGAAUCGGGCAUUUCAAUUGGGGAUUUCUUUUUUCCUUUCAUUUUUGCAGGUAAAAAAAAAAAAUCAGAUUUUAUUCUGUUCUUCAGUAACAUACAGUCUCUUUGAAUAAGCUAUUUCUUUUGCAUAUUUGACACUUGCAUAUCUUUUGAGUCUACACUGGUGAUGUACAGAAAGUGUUUUCCUUCUAACAACCCUAAAGCAACGCUCACAGUUCAUACCGUUGGCUGAGUGCCUGCCGUCUGAACCCUUCCCAGAUUGCCAGGGGGCAAUUAGAAUCAAGUACAAGUGGUGCAACUCACCCUGAUGAUAUCUCAAAAUAAAAUCUCAGGUACUAUGGAACACUGAAGUCAAUGAAGACAUUUGAGUAAGGGUUUUGCGCUGGGAUCGCGGCUGAUGGUGCGGAAAUUUCCCCAUGACACGAGUAUCCUCUGUAGCUUUCUAACAGUGGGAUCCAUCCAGGAGGUGAUGGACAGGAGUUCCUACAGGUGGCCAGGUAACACCCAAAACCAAAUUGGUCAACCCAGCCACUUGUUCCGGCAUCCUUCUCCAGCUGAAGCCUGGAGGGAUCGAGAUGCUGCCCCCCCCACCACUGAGGCUGUGAUGGAGAGCCGUGACAGACGAGUGGGGAGGAGGUGGCCUUGGUUAGGUCCAGCAUGUGGUAGUGGUGGCUGUGAGUUCUGCCCAUGUCAUCUCCCAAAGAGGGCAGUGGACUUGGUACAAGGAGACGCCACAUCCUGUGGCUUGGCCGACUUCAUUCGGUCAUACCUAUCAUGGCUCUCAAGGCCCUAGGGAGCCUCCCCUGGAGUUUCGCUUCUGUCUGGGGGCUUUGCAGAGCCUUUCUGAGUUCGUGCGGAAAAGCUCUGCGGCAGGGAAGCUGAACGGCACACCUCUCGGGUCUUGCCACAAGUCUCUGUUGCAGGUGGGGUAGCUCAGAUGCUCUGAUCCCGUGUGCUUCCAUGGGCUCCUCCUCCCGGCAACACGCGGACGUCGGGGGAGAUGUGGUUCUCGAGUUUGCACUUUUCCUGGCCACUGGGGCCUUUUCCAGUCAAUGCUUCUGUGGAGUAAAUACAGUUCUGCCUUAAGAACUUAGGGGAGGUGGGUAAGGGGGAGCUUUCAAAGUGGUUCUUCUCUGAUCUUGUCCCAACGCUGAACUUGGGACUGGUGCUCACGUGGACGCUCUUGGGAGGGCUGGAAUCUACACUGUAGAGCACCUGCCCCUCAUCAUCUGUGUCCGCAUCAAUGUACUGGUGGACACCUGCUUCGAAGUUGAAUGCUAUUGCUGUGUGUUUCUCAGGUGAUCGGGGGGGCGUCCUAGCACUUGCUGUGGUGUAGAUGGAGGACUCUGGACUCAGUACAGGCCUGUCCAAGAGUGUGGCACACUCCAGUCCAGCGACAGCAGCUGCAGCGCCCCCCCGGUUCCUAAGAGGGUCAUGGUACAACCCCAGAACGGGGACUAGUGGACUGGGAUCCCCCUCCAUGAAGUUGACUUUAAGUGCUCGGAGCUUCAGGGGGUUGUUUGUCUUCAGAGAACUCUUGGGGCUCUCAAUGAAGAAGGUAGAGCGAUGGCUAGCAUCAGGGGUGGGGUUGGCCUCCACAAAUCUACCACCACUGGCACCCAGAGCUCCCCGCCAGCCCAUCUCUGGGGCCAUGCUGCCCCCAGUCUUGCUGGGAAGUGAUGCCAAAGGGCUGUGGGAGAAUCUGGUGGCUUCAGGGAAGUCUGUGGCACAGCUAAUGAAGCUAUCAAUGCUUGACAUGCUUCGCAUGUCAAUGACCCCUUCUGUACGCGUGGGCAGAGGGGCUACAGGGCUGGGGAUACUCUCCAUUUCAAGUUCUUCCUUUGGUUUGCUCUGUGUUGUUGACUCCUUGGUAUUGAGGAUGGGUUGAGAUUGGGUCUUGGCCAUCUUAUUGUACAUGUCUUCCAACUGCUGGACGUUCAGGUGCUGAGGACUAGAAGAUGAUCUGGCCUUCUCAGGGGAUCCCUGCUCCUUGGUUUCAAAGGACUUACUUGAGCUAGUUUCAGACAGUGUCCUCUUUGUCCAUUUCCAUUUGUUGGGAGACAAGUGAUUAUCUUGCACUUUGUCCUUCUUACCCAUAUUGUCUCCAUUUUUCUCAACCACGAUGUCCAUCAUCUCGAUGCUCCGGGCAAAAGCAUCUUUCAUGUUCAUGGAUACGAUGCUGCCAUUCCUCUUGGCUCUUUCCAGAGCCUCUCUCCGCUUGAUUGCUUUCUCCUGCCUCUUCUGCUCCUUGUAGAACUCAGAGAAGUUAUUGACAAUGAUGGGGAUGGGAAGGGCAAUCACCAGGACCCCUGCAAUGCAGCAGAGCCCCCCAACAAUCUUCCCCAGGAGAGUCUUGGGGUAGAUGUCUCCAUACCCAACGGUCGUCAUGGUGAUGGUGGCCCACCAGAAAGAGGCUGGGAUGCUUUUGAACUUGGUGUCAUCCUCAUCCUUCUCAGCAAAGAAGACAAGGCUGGAGAAGAUCAUGAUGCCCAUGGCAAGGAAGAGGAUGAGCAAGCCCAGCUCAUUGUAGCUCCUCCGCAGGGUGAAGCCCAAGGACUGGAGGCCAGUGGAGUGGCGUGCAAGCUUAAGGAUGCGGAGGAUACGCAUGAUGCGGAAGAUCUGGACCACACGACGGACGUUCUGGAACUGCAGCACACUCUUGUUGGAUUCGGUGAGGAAGAUGGUGACAUAGUAUGGCAAGAUGGCCAACAAGUCAAUGGCAUUGAGCGGGCCCUUGAAGAACUUCCACUUCUUGGGUGAGGAGAGGAACCGCAGCAGGUACUCCAUGGUGAACCAUGCAAUGCACACGGCCUCCACAUGGGCCAGCUGGGGGUUGUCUGUGGUCUGGCCGAACUCGUCAAGGCUCUGCAGCUCGGGCAGCGUGUUGAGUGACAGGGCAAUGGUGGAGAGGACGAUGAACAUGAUGGAAAUUAUGGCAAGGAUCUGCAAGGAGAAGAGAGUGGGAUUUAGUUACCAACCACCAACAGGAUGAUCAUCCUAACACCGUGCGUCCGCAGAAUGCUCCUCAACAUUCAAGAGCAUUUUCACAUCUCAACAGCCACUCAAUGCCUGGAUGUUUGAGCUAAAAAAAAUCAUUUAUUUGAAUCCAUUUGUUGUACAGAUGUACAAACCAAAGCCCAGAGACUGCAAUGAUUUAAAGCUAAUUAUUCCAGCCUCAGGGUGGCGGGGUGGGGUGGGGGGAGUCACUAGUGAGGACACAGGAGAUCUGAAAGAGGGUGUAGGGGCGGCAAUUUAGAGCUUGGGCUCUGGUGUCAGGCUGUUUUGGGUUCGAAUUCCAGCUCUGCUGCUUCCUUACCUUGAGCCAGUUGUUUACUCUAAGCCUCAUUUUCCUCAUCUGCAAAAUGGGAUGGUAAAUAAAUGUCUACCUCAGAGAGCUGCUGCAAGGGGUAAAUGCAUUAAUGCGUGCAAGGCAUUUAGGAGAGCUUCCAGCUGUGCACACAGAGGGUCUGGUGAACGCUAGCUGUCCUCACAGGGGAAGUCUCUCAGCCCACACCACCCCAUCGGCCUAGCCUGCCCAGCCUCCGAGUGGGCCAGCUGGUCUUUGCUUCCUGCCCCGUCCCGGAACGGCCUGCUAUAUCCCGUUGGCCAGUGCCCUUGCUGCCCGGGUGAGUUUGAGAGGCUUCCGUUUUCUGUAAUGAAUCCCCACUCACCACACAGGGUUGUCAAGCCUACAUUUUUACUCCGACCCCUCUCUUUGGGCCUUUCCUGCCACAGGUUCCCGAAUGUCACACUUCUCUGGCCACAUGUUUCCAACGAAUCCUGUGUCUUUUAAACAAAAGCUUUUGAGUUUUAAUUCUUGGUGUGCACUCAUUGAAAAAGUAAAAUUCUGUAAUCGCUUUAUAAAAAGAAAUAUCCAGUACAUACAAAAGUAGAUCAAAUUUAUGUAUAUUUACAAACCCUAAUCAAGCGAACGCCUGUGAACCCACAACCCAGGUGAAGAAACAGUAUGAGAUAGUAAUGCUGAUAUUUCCUGCGUGUCCUUCUCCACCCCGGGGGUAACCACAAUUUCUUCUCAUCCCUUUUCUUUUCUGGAGAGUUUUUAAUACUGAGAUAUAUGUCCCUAACAAAUUGCUAUUUUGUCUCGCUCAGGACUGACAUCCUAUUGUACGUGUUCUUUUGCUGCUUGUACUACUCUUCCCUCAGUAGUAAAACAACAACACACUGCUCACCUUCUCCAUUUUAGCCUUGUCCUAAGAAACGACAUUUGCAAAGAUGCUGGUUUUGUGUGCUAGGGAAAGAUGUGUUAAAUCUUCAUUAAAAUAAAUACGUGCUUAUUCCGGCGGCAUACUUUGGGAACUCCUGCACCGAGUUAGGAGUGUGGGCUCUAGAGGUAGAAUCCAGCUCUGCCAUUUACUGGCUGGAUGGCCUUGGCAUUGAAACUUCCCUUGCCUCAGUUUCCUUACUUGCGAAAUAGGGAUAUUCCAGUCAUUCAUAACUGGGGAUGAUUUUGAACCCCCAGGGGUCAAAAUUUGACAAAUGCCACAGAAAUUUUUGGUUGUCACGACUUGGGGGGAGGGAUGCUCCUGGCAGCCAGUGGGUGGAGGCCAGGGAUGCUGUUGGAUCCUACCGUGCACAGGACAGGCCUGCGAUGAAGAAUGAUCUGUCUCAAAAUGUCUAUAGUACCAAGGUUGAGAAACCCUGGGGUGUACCAGGAGCUAGCCCCUCAUAAAUCAUAGCGUGGGGGAUGAGGAGAUUAUGCAGGUAGGGUUACCAGCACAGGGCUAGACACAAGGUGGGUCUGAUUUUCUGGGGCAGGCAGCCAGGGCCUUGGGCAGAGCUCUGCAGGUUGCUUCUCUAGGUAGGCACUGAUCUCCGGCUAGGAGGAAGCCUGCAGGAGAAGGAGCAGAUUCCUGGGGAGCCUGUUCCUUUAAGAGCUGGGAGAUCCCAUUUCCCCCAGAGCCUGGCAAGGGAAGCCUGCUCCAGUUUCUAACCCCUAGACAACUCCAGGGAAGGCCCACACAAUUGAUAUUCAUGAAUUAUGUACCCGGAAUAUUAUGUAUGUAUUAUGUACAGUCCUUAGGGUUUGUUAUUCUAAGGUAGGCACCACCUUUGUACCUGAGAAUGAGAAUGUGCCCUGCCCUCCCCACCUCCCAGCCCCAGUAUGCCUAGAAAAGAAGAAAAGGGGGCAGAGUCCUCCCUGGCUCCUGAGGGAGGGCAGUCUGCUGCUCAGCAUUGUCUUGGGAGGGUCAGAGCACCUCAGGCCUCCUUCCGUGCACGCAGGCACCCCUCUGCACUCCGUCCUGGCCCUGCCCACAAGAUUGUUUUCUUUCCUAGACCCGCUGAAGCCUUUAGAGUCAGGGCGAUUCUUCCUGGCUGGGGAACUUCCAAGUGGGAGUUAAACCCCCUGUGCUUCAGUUUCCUUAUCUUUAAGAUUUGGGGUGGGGUGGGUGGAGGUGUCCAAUGCAAGGCUGCAAUGAGAGUUCAAUGAAUUCAUAAGGCCCUCAGAUCAGCUUUUAUUGCUGUUAUUACUCUGCAGCCUUAUACUUAUUUAUGAGCUGGUUUGGGAUCUGGGUUGGAGUCCUGACACUAUUAUCCCCGGCUGUGUGGCUUUGGACAAAUCAUUUCCCCUCUCUGAGUCUCCAUUUCUCCAUUUUUUAUCUCUAGAAUGGAGAUGGAAGUAAUUGAGCACUUGCCACAUAACAGCUACUUAAUAUAUGUUACGUUAUUAAAUUAUGAUCCAGGUAAUUUAUCAUCACGCCCACUCCCAGCCCCUGGACUGGUUGCUGAGGUCUGUGGGCCCCAGUGCCUGCUAAGGCAGCAGAUAUCCCACAAACAGCCUGAAACCCAAAUGAACAGUUUUGACCUGGUCUCUGGGAUGGACCCCAGGGGUGGACCAGCCAGCACCUGGAGUCCUCCCAGAACCUUGUUCAAACCCCUGUCUGGGCCUCUGCAUUUCCAGCUUUGCCUUCCUGGGAUCUGAGCCCAAUCAGGUUUGGGCAGGACUCCAGGAACCCGGGGAGCAAAGGCAAAAGCCAGGACAAGGGACUAGGAGGCAGUCUUCAAAUUCCCUCCCUGUAGGGAGAUUCUGGAUCCUGGAACCCACCUGUCUGCACCAAAUGGGGGCAGAAGCUUUGGUCCUCUGGGUGAAGAGAGCAGCAGGUGGGAGUCCCCAGGGUGGGAUCCAGGGGUGCUGGAGCCAGGCCCUCCUCCUAAUUGUCGGCUCUGGUGGUUGAUCACGGGGAUGCCCACCUUUGGCUCCAGCAGCUAUAAAUACAAACUGUUUAUCAUUUCCUCCACACACUCCCCUGCUCUUCCAGGAAUGUGAACGAGGCACAGAGUAUCUGUGCAUAAAAGGGCACAGGCAGAAAAGGGAAGGGUCUCAUUCAUGGGUACAUAGCCCAUUGGGGUCAUACCCGUAUAGGGACGCCAGAAGCUCUAGCAAGCUGAGAGAUGUUUAGGGCUUGGAAACUGCCCUUUUUUUUUUUUUUUUUAAACAAGUCAUAAAUCAUUUUUUAAAUUUAUUUUAUUUAUUUAUUUUUAAAAGAUUAUUUAUUUAUUUAUUUGACAGAGAGAGACACAGCGAAAGCAGGAACACAAGCAGGGGGAGUGGGAGAGGGAGAAGCAGGCUUCCCACGGAGCAGGGAGCCCGAUGUGGGGCUUGAUCCCAGGACUCUGGGAUCAUGACCUGAGCCGAAGGCAGACACUUAACGACUGAGCCACCCAGGCGCCCAAUCAUUUUUUAAAUUUAAAUUUUAAUUCCAGUAGAGUUAACCUACAGUAUUAUAUUAGUUUCAGUGUACAGUAUAGUAAUUCAACAAUUCUUUUUUUUUUUUUAAGUUUUUUUAAUUUAUUCAUUUGAGAGAGAAUGAGAUAGAGAGAGAGCAUGAGACGGGGGAGGGUCAGGGGGAGAAGCAGACUCCCUGCCAAGCAGGGAGCCCGAUGCGGGACUCGAUCCCAGGACUCCAGGAUCAUGACCUGAGCCGAAGGCAGUCGCUUAACCAACUGAGCCACCCAGGCACCCCAGUAAUUCAACAAUUCUUUACAUUACUCGGGGCUUGUUGUGAUAAAUGUACUUUUAUUUGGAAAUUGCUCUUCAUGCACAAGCAUGUUCAUAGCAGCUUUAUCCACAAAUAAAAAAGUGGAAUCAACCCAAAUGUCCAUCAGCUGAUGACCAGAUAAACGGGUAUAUCCAUAGAAUGGAAUAUUACUUAUCCAUAAAAAGGGGUGGAGGACAGACACACGCUACAACGUGGAUGAACCUUGAAAACAUGAUGCGAAGUGAAAGAAGCCAGACACAAAAGGCCACAUACUGUAGUAUUCCAUUUACAUAAAGUGUCCAGAUAAGGCAAACCUUUAGAGAUCAAAAGCAGAUUAGUGGCUGCCAGGGUGGAAAUAUGGAUUAACAGUUGUUAAUGGUUAUGAGGGAUCUCUUUGGGGUGAUAAAAGUGUUCUAAAACUGAUUUAGGGUGAUGGUGGCACAACCUGGCAAAUUUACUAAAAACUCAGUGAGCUGCGCACCAGAAAUGGGUGAAUUAGAUGGUAAUAAGUCUUAAUACAGUAAUAAAAUUUUUGCUUUCCAUGAAGAGUAUCCCAUUGCUUUUAAUCCUCACAACCGUACUGAAAGGUCAUAGGAGAGAAGCAAAAAUCCAAGCAAGCCACAGAUAGCCCUUCUGUGAACCCUGCAAUAGUUCCAGAAGCUCUCGGAUAAAGGUCUAAUUCUUUGCAUUUUGUUGACAUGUUUUUAUUUUAUUUUAUUUUUUUAUUUUUAUUUUACUUUAUUUUUUUUUUAAGAUUUUACUAUUUAUCUGACAGAGAGACACAGUGAGAGAGGGAACACAAGCAGGGAGAGUGGGAGAGGGAGAAGCAGGCUCCCGGCCGAGCAAGGAGCCCGAUGCGGGGCUCGAUCCCAGGACCCUGGGAUCAUGACCUGAGCCGAAGGCAGACGCUUAACGACUGAGCCACCCAGGCGCCCCUUAUUUUAUUUUUUUUAAAGAUUUUAUUUAUUUGAGAGAGAGAGAAACACAGUGAGAGAGGGAAUACAAGCAGGGGGAGUGGGAGAGGGAGAAGCAGGCCUCCCGCGGAGCAGAGAGCCCGAUGCGGGGCUCGAUCCCAGGACCCUGAGAUCAUGACCUGAGCCGAAGGCAGACACUUAAGGACUGAGCCACCCAGGCGCCCCUUGGCACGUUUUCUUACCAAAUGCUGUGCUAGUUGCUGGGGAUAUGCAGCAUGGAUAAGAAAGACCAUUUCUGUGGUUGCAAGGAACUGGACGAGAGAGACGUGGACGAAAUAACACAGAAACCCAUAAAAGAGCAAGAUGAUGCCAGAGAGUGCUAAGUGCUACAUGUUACUGAGAAAAACAAACCAGGGAGAUCGGUAGGGUAGCAAGGGGUGAGGGGUGUCCACAUGAGGUUGGGUAGUCAGGGCAGACCUAUUUCAGGAGAUGCCCUGGUUGUUGGGACUUGAGGAUGAGGAGUAUGUUGUUCAAAGAUCUGAGCAUUCCAGGCAGAAGGCAUAGCAUGUGCAAAGGCCCUGAGGUGGGAAUGAGUUUGGCUUAAUCAAGCAACAGAAAGCAGCUCAGUGUAAGUGGGGCUGAGUAUAGGGAUAGUUGGAGGGGAUGAGGUUGGAGCGGCAGGAAGAACUCAUCAAGAAUGAUAGAGAGAUUUGGAUUUUUAUAUUAAGACUACCUUUCUUCUCUCUCUCCAGACUAUUUCCUGAAUUUCCCACUGCAUAUUCCAUACUGAAUCCUCGUAAAAACACUUAUAGUUCCCAAGCCGCACUGCCAUGGUUGCUCACAUCCCAAGAUCCUCACCAUGCUGUUCCCUCUGCCUUCAGCACCCUUCCUCCUCCACUUCUCUUGGCUGAUUCCUAUCAGCUCCCAACUCAGGGGCCAUUGCUCCAGUGAGCCUGCUCUGACCCCCAGCUCUGGGUCAGGUGUGUCCAUCCUCUGGAUUCCCACAGCCCCUAAGAUUCUCCCAUGAGAGCACUGAUCUCGCUGAGCUGGAAUUUUCUCCUCUGUGUCCUGCAAAGGAAUGUCAGCUCAUGAGGACCCAGGCUGAGUCUGUCUUGGACUGCUGUGUCUGUAGGUCCUGAAACAGUGCCUGGCACAGAGUAGGUGCUCCCUAAAUGGAUGAUAAAUGAAUGAACAAGCAAAUGAAUGGAAGGGAGGCUCAGAGAAUGAAGUGAGUUAUCCAGGUCCACACAACUUGGAAGAGGUAGAUCUGGGACUUGAUCUCGGGUCUGUGGGUGUCCAGAAGACAUGUUCAAGGACGUAAGAGGAGGCAGCUUCCGGACCCGGCAACCCUCUUGCUCCUUUUAUGGUCCUUCCGCUUCCCUGGCUUUAAAGGGAGAUUAUAGCUGGAGAGUUUUAAUUAGAAGGGUCACUGGCGUAGAUCCGAUUAAGGGGAUUGGGAGCAGACUGAUGGUCUGCACCCCUCUCCCCACUGGAGGUGGGGGGCCACCAGUGGGGAAUUGGUGAGAAAUUGGAGUCAGGAACCUGCAGGUGGCGCUCCUGGGCACAAAGGGACAGGAAUCCAGGGCUAAAUGUGCACAAAGGGACAGGAAUCCAGGGAUAAAUGUGCUUGGACAACAAAGGAUGAAGGCAGAGGCCUUGGGGUGAGCCAGCAAGAGUGGCCUUCACCAACAGAGGGCAACCGAGUCACAAAGGUGGAAAGGAGGUGCCGUGGCAUUGCUGGGGGUAUCCUAGGCAUUAUAAAUCAGAAGACUUGAGGCUGAGAAACUUAUUUUUACUUAAUUGGCCCACGUUUCAAAAUGGGAAGAUUUCACAUAAAAAUCCAGAUUUUCACAUUCCCUUGGAAAAUCAGAUGAUGUCUACACUCAACCUGCAUUCCCGAGGGCAACCAUUGCCUGGAGCUACAGGUCCCUCGCUCCUUCCGUUAUCUGUCAGGUUGCUGUAGGCGUUGGGUUUGCAAUGCGGGACCCACUGACGUAAUACUGAAGACUGCAACCGCUUACUGACUUGCUACUGUAUAUGAAGAACUUUCCAGAUGAGAUCUGCAUCUAAUUGCACAAGCCAGAAACCUACGGGUCAUCCUUGUCCCCAUAUCCAACCCAUCACCAAGUCUUGCCAAUUCUGGCUCACAAACAUCUUUUGGUCUUUUCCAUUCCUUCUCUACCUGCAAGCUACCACCCUUGCCCCAAGCCACCAUCACCUCCCACUGGGCCACCACAAACAGGCUUUCCAGCUUCCCCUACAAUGAGAUGAGGCCAUGUGGGCCAUGUGACUAGGUCUGGCCAAUGAAAUGUGAGCAGAAAUGAUGCUUGCCUGUUGUUUCCUUUUUCUUGCUGGCUGGUAGGCAGAUGUGAUGGGCAGAGCUGCUUGGAUCUGAGAUGAAAGUUAAUCGCAGCCCCUAGCCUGGCCCUUUAGUGAAAAAGUUUGCCAACUCCUGGUCUACCUUAUAACAUCUGUCUUAUUUAAGCCACUGGAUUUUGGAGUCUUGUUGUUACAAUCACUUAGUCUAUACUCUCCUGAACUCUCCAGCACCAUCCUGUACCAGGCUCCCCUUUGCUCUUUCACUUCAGGUGAAUUAGUCUUCCUUUGGUCCCUCACAGUUCUCAUGAUCCUUCUUGCCACAGGGCCUUUGCCCAUGCUGUUCUUGCUGCCUGGAAUGCUUUUUCCUUCACUCUGCCUGGUCAGUUUCUCCUCAUCCUUCUUAGCUCAGCUGAGGCAUCACCUCCUCAGGGAAGCCAUCCCUGACCCUGAUUUGAUCAGGUCAAAUCCGUAAUUGCAGGCUUUCAGAAUGCAUGUCUUUCUCUUCAGAAUGCUAAGUCGCAAUUUUACAAUAAUGUCCACCUCUGUAGAAUGUAAUCAACUUGAGGACAGAGAUUUGUGUCUAAUUUUCUCAAUCUUGAGUCCUCAGAGCAUACAGUAGGUGCUCAACACGUAUUUAUGGAAUGAAGAAUCUCAUUUCAUCCUGAAAACCACCUGCAGGUUGUGUUGUACCCCUGGCCCUCAUUUUAUAAUUGGGGAAACUGAGGCUUAGAAAGACAAUAACCAAAGUGACAACAAGGGAAGCGGCCAAGGCAUGGGUUUGAUCCAUGUUUACUAGGCACUGAAGCCCUUCUCUGUUUUAACACUUGAGCACCUGUUUUUAUCCCAGAAUCCUGGGGUCUGAAUUAUGUUGUUUUUUAAAAAUUUUUAUUUAUUUAUUUGACAGAGAGAGAGACAACAAGAGAGGGAACACAAGCAGGGGGAGUGGGAGAGGGAAAAGCAGGCUCCCUGCUGAGCAGGGAGCCCAAUGGGGGCUUGAUCCCAGGACUCUGGGAUCGUGACCUGAGCCGGAGGCAGAUGCUUAAUGGCUAAGCCACCCAGGUGCCCCAAAUUUUGGAUUUUUGAGGGGUGAAACAGAAAGGAACACAUUAGAUAAUUGAAUUAUGGUUUUUAACGUAUGUCCUCACUUGAACCAUCUCCCCCAGGUGACCUGACUCUUCCCUACACAAUCUGGGCUGGGCAUCCUUCUCCUAACAGGUGAAUUAAGUUCCCAUGAGCCUUGUCAAAGCAGGGAUUCUGGGAGCUGGUGAGAUUACAACCUCCUGCCCAUCUGAGGACAAUGCUUCUGGUGGUGGGGGUGGUGGUGGUGAUAAUGGAGACUUGACUCUGGUCCCUGCAGAGGGAGGAGGGGAUAGUGAGAAACUUGAUUGGAGCAGGGUUCUUCCUGCCUGAGUGAUCGUCAAUUCCCUACAUUUGCUGAGGGCGUGCGGAGCUGAGGAAGGGACUGUUGGUCUCAACAGUGAUGAAUGGUGUCGGUCCAUCCCUGCUGCAGGGAGCAGUGGAUUGAAUAAAAAACAAGGAGCACAGGAAAUGUUAGGUAAGGACAGUGUCCACGGGUUCUGCUGAGCCACAAAUCUGUCCCCUUGCCCCUGAAUCUGCAGGGAUGGGGAGUGUGGAGGGUAGUCUUUGAGAGCCUGGCCAGGGCAGCUGGGGGUGCUAAAGGAAGCUAAAUAUGUUGGUCUGGAUGUUGGGAUUGGACACCACCCUGGCUAACAUCAGAAUGAUGGCUCUGUGAUUCUCGAUAACAGCCAGAUUUGCUGGUUAAUGUCCAAGAUACAUUUAGAAGGAGACAUUUGGGGGGCUUAACAACAGAUCUUUUUCAUAUAGCAUUUUAGUCUCACUAGAGAUUCACGUUGAGGUGAAUGCAUGGGUAGUCAGGAGACCUACUUUCCAAUUCUGGCUGGGCAUCUUUAGGCCAGUGUCUUCACAUCUCUUGUCUUUCUCAUGGAACGGCCACUGAGAAUCUGCUGGGUCUCCAGCAUAGUUCCUUUCCAAGCCGUGACUCAGGGAACCGGUGGCUCUAUCGUCUCAAUAUGUGACUUCCAUUCUUGCCAAGGCAGGGGCAGGAAUAGCGUGAAGAAGUCACGCUUGCCUGUGCCCAGAAGUGAUAUGCGUCAUUGCUUCCCCUGACAGCGAGGUCUGAGAUCUACAGCCUGCCUCCCCAUGGGGAUGCAGUUAGUGCUCUGAAACCUGUAAAAUGCUCACGAAGCCUAAGGAGAUGGUCUCCAACGCAGAUGUGUGCACCGUAUGAUGUACUGGGGGAGGAGCAGAAAGAAGUGACUGGCAUUUGAUGGGCCUCUAUUUCCUCUGUGCAGAACUGUGUGACUCGCUGUGCACCGGGAUGAUGCAGAUAGCUUCUGGGCUGAGGGUGAGUGGGUGUGAGCUCCCUCUCCUCAGCAACAAUGGAGGUCUCGUGUUGAGAGGACAGUGGAUCCUGAGUCACCACGACUUGGAAGAGGGCCGUGCUGCACUCUUACUGGGUCCUUAGGGGGAAUCACACAGAACACAAGCUUCAUGAACUGUGGGGUCUUGGUCCUCUUCUCGACAGUUAUAUCCUCAGUGCCUAGCAAGGGGCUGGUGUACAGUAGAUACUAAAUAAAGAUUUGUUGGAAGAACAAACGUGUGGAUUCCAGGUCUCCAGAUGAACUCCACAGGGCUCUGACUGGGGCAACAGGUUCUGAAAUGCCUAAUGGAUCUUUCUCUCCAAGAAAUGCAAACCCAGCUCUCCACUGGGGUCGGGUGGUUUACCUGCUGGCCACAUGUCCGAAUCCGUGCAGCAGUUCCGGUCACUGUGUUUUUGUGACCGGAGGCAAAACACACUCUGCUUCCUCAAGACAGUCCAACAAACACAAUGAGAACUUUCUGGAGCUCAAGGUAAAAUUUGUAGAGCGAAAUCCAUCUCCAAAUGCGUGGUUUACAAGGAAGCAAAGGGGAACUAGGGAUUAUGUCUUUGUAAAUAGCAGAUGAGAUCUUAUGUAAAGUUGGCUUCCCUUGGGGUGGCUCCCAUUUCCAAAAAACUCAUUAUUAUGCAGAAAAUAAUCAUUCAUGAUGGUAGUUACCAUUAACUAAGCAGCUAUUAUGGGAUGAGGCACUGUGGACUGCAUUAGGUACAUUGUCUACUCAAACCUCAAGACAUCCUUGAAUUCGAUCCCUGCCGGCAAGAAAAGGAAACCAAGGCUCAGAGAAGUGAAAUGCCUUGCUUGAUGUCCCACAGCCACUAAAAGGAGAAGUCGGCACUCAAACCCUGGUCUUCUCUCCCCAAAUCCAAGACAAGAUCCUCAAAGGACCCUGGUGCAGGCAAUCCGCUGCUAAGACAGCCCAUGCAGAUAAGCACAGGCCUGCUGACCAGAGCCUGAAAAAAUAAGAACUCUAGGUCAUCCAAACGGCAAAGCCAGCCAGUCCUGCAGCACUCUGAGUUCGGGCUGGGGUUACGACUCACUGUUGGUGUGUUCCUGGAAGAUAUCCAGACUGCUCUGGCCAUUUUCUCCUACAAGCUUUGGUGAAAGGCAAGGGAAAUUGCGUUUGGAAAGCCUUCUCUGGAUUCCAUUAAAGCAGGGGCUUAGGGGCCUACAGCAACCACCUGUGCACUGUCCCAACCCCCGUGUGGGUCUUCCCUGUUCUGAGAAGACACUGUGACCCAAGGCUGGGCAAGAAAUCCUGGAUUUCCAAGUACAUGGCUCCUUGGGGGUGGGGAGCAUGGACACUGGCCUGGGGGCAUAGAACCGGCAGGGUAGGGUCUUGCUUCAGGCUUGGCCUGUGAGGCAAGAUAAAAUUUGGCCCAAACCAACUUUGGCCAAUAUGAAAUGGUAAGGAAUGUCUUGUUCUGGGAUGGGCCCUUAUGGUUUAAUAGUCCUGGGCAGCAUUUUCCUCCAAAACCUCUCGACCUACUGAUAAAACUUCCCAGCCACGUGGGUCUUAAAACACAUUGCUCACCACUCCUCCAUCAAGAGGCAAGCUUUAUGCCCCUUCCUCUUGAAUUUGGGCUCUGUAAUUGCUUGUUCAGUAGACUAUGGCAGAAACAACGUGGUGCCAAUUUCAGGGCCCAAACUUUGAGAAUCUGGCAUCUCUUACUUCCUGUAUCUUGGGAUGACCACGCUUGGAACCCAGUUGCCAUGCUGAGGAAGCUCAAGCUACCCCACGGAGAGGAACAGACCACCAGGAAUGACACUAUGUCAUGCAGGCAAGCCCCAGUUGAGCUACCCCAGCGGACAUCCUGUGUGGAGCAGAAAUGAACUACCCCCCCCCCCCCCGGCCUUGCACAUGCUGCGUAAAUAAAAUGAUUUUGUUUCAAGCCACUACAUUUUGGAGGUGGCUUAUUACACAGUAAUAGGUAACCUUCCCAAACUGGAAGGAAUUCCUGGGUCUUACAGGAACCCCAGAUCCAGAUGUAGGAUUUUAAUAACAGAAGGGCCUGUCAUUUGAAGAAAGGCUAAUAAAUCAGGCUGCAAAACUUCAUCUGCUGACCGCCUGCCCCCCCCCACCCAAUGUCUCCCCAAUCUCAUAACUGGAAUAGUUAAGAAUAGUCUUGGGCUCUUCCCUAUUUGAGAUAGAAUCCUCCAUCAACCAAACACACCUCUAGAUCCUCUGUGAUCAGGGGUGAAGGGGACAAAGGUGGAGACUAGAUGAUUUCCCUUAAUUCAGGAUUUUAGAUAUUUUUCAUGGAAUUAUCUGGUAGCUAUCAUCCUAUUUGGAAUAUCCAAGGAAACAAGGCCACUGUAUAGGAAAGCACCAGAAACCUUUCCUUCUGCUCUUUUAAUGAUUGUGUGGGGCUGCCAUGGAGAUGAAACUGGGAAGAGGUGGAGGAAGGCAGCCUAUAAAAUCUCUGUGAAUGCCUCUUUUUCUAGGGCUUGGCCUGGCUCCAUGGAAGUGGGUUUGUCAUGUGAUUCAAAAAGUCUCUAAAACUCUGUCUGCCAAACUGUCCCUCUCUCUGAUUUUCAGUUAGCUAGAACUCCCAAGAGGCCCAUGACAACAGGACAAUGCCCAAGAAACACAAAUAGAGGGUUCUGAGCGACUGACAGUCAUUGCCCUCUCCCUAACUGACAGUGCCCUGAAAGCCUUCAUCAACAUUAUCUUGGAGAAUUCUUUCAGGAACCUAGUGAAGGUGACUGGAUGCAAACCGUGGUCUGUCUGGACAAUACUACUCCACAAUAAGAAGCAGUAAACUACGAUACACUCUACAGCACGGCUGAACCUGCAGAACAUGAUGCUGAGUGAAAGAAGCCGGACACAAAGGGCCACAUACCAUAGGACCCCAUUUCUAUGAGAAGUCCAGAAGAGGCAAAUCCACAGAGACAGAACAUAGAUUGGAGGUGCUGGGGAGCGGGAAUGGGGAGUGAAUGGAUAUAGGCAUAAGGUUUCUUUUGGAGAUGUUCUGAAAUUGGAUUAUAGUGAUGGCUGCACGACUCUGUAAAUUUACUAAAAAAUAUUGAAUUACACACUUAAAAUGAAUGGGUUUUAUGGUAUAAAAAUUAUUCCCCAAUAAAGCCGUUUUAUUUAUU
This is a long non-coding RNA of Mirounga angustirostris (Northern elephant seal), 20412 nucleotides long. RefSeq lists it as uncharacterized. Lineage: Eukaryota; Metazoa; Chordata; Mammalia; Carnivora; Phocidae. The transcript is spliced from 14 exons. The record is from RefSeq and is a predicted model, not a curated record.